GCUCCUAGGUUGAAUACAGAGAUUAUAAAAUCUUCUGAUAAUUCACAAACUCAACAAUCUCCAUAUUUAUUUUCACCUGGUGUUAGCCCAACUUCUUUUCUAGAAUCACCUGUUUUCCUUUCCAACUCAUUGGUUCAACCAUCUCCAACUACUGGAAAGUUCCAAUUUGUUCCAAAUGGUAAUGGUAGAAGCUCCAUGAUGUUCUUGGAUUCCUCUAAUAGGGUUAAAGAAAAUUUCUUUGAGGACACUAAUAACACUUCUUUUGCCUUUAAGCCUUUCCCAGAUUCAGCUCCUGUAUCUCGUGAUCAUGUGAAUCCACCUUUCACGUCUACACAAUCUUUUCAACAUAAUGAAACUCUAGUUCAAGCUGAAAGACAAUUCCCUCCACAAAAGAUUGAACCAACACAAA
Molecule: non-coding RNA, 409 nt
Organism: Lactuca sativa (garden lettuce)
Lineage: Eukaryota; Viridiplantae; Streptophyta; Magnoliopsida; Asterales; Asteraceae
Source: RefSeq, a predicted model, not a curated record